AAAUUGCCCCCAGAUUUUUUUUUUACAGGGCUGUUGUUGGCUACAUUUAAAUAUUUCUUAUUAAAAUAUUUUUUUUCUUCUCUCUUUUUUUGCGGAAUACUACUUUUCACAGAGUGAAAACAGUUUUUUUCGUCUCUUAAAACAUUUUAGUUUCUAAGUUAGACAAGCUUUCAAAACAAGACACAAGAUUUAAAUUUUACAUCCUCCGUUAUUAUAGCUAUAUCCGGGAUUUCUUAAUCCCCUUCUUUAAGAAUCUUAAGCAGGCCUCUUAUUAGGCAAACCAGCUUUCACAAAUAUCUUUGCUGGAAAGCUGCAGUGUCCUUUCCAAAAGUCCAUCCGCUUUUUCAUAAGCUGAUUGAUCUGCCAUCUAAACUUGUAGAAAAGGAUUGAUCAUCAGGGUGUUUGCAACUAAGACCUAAUAAUCAAUUUUUUACCAGAGCGUCAAAUGGGAAAAUGUCAAUAUUUGGUGUUCCAUGCUUCGCCGUUGAAAACAAGUAGUUAAUAUUCAUCUUAAAUUGAGUGAUUCCCCUCUUUAAAAACGUGUACAAUCAACAAUAGGAUAACCCUGGUGGAAGAUCUAACAACUCUAUUGUAUAUUUCGUGCUCACUAAUUAUUGUUAGAGAGAGAGUUUAUUCUUGCAUCUUGGAUCAUGUGAAUUUUUCAUUAAUUUUCUAUUUAUUCUUUGUGGUCCUUUGGCCUUUUAAAUGAUCAUUCUGAUUUUUACUUUGGAUAGAUCUGUGCUCUUAAAUAUGAACGAAAGGAUCAGUAACCUGGCUGUAUUCUUCUUUUUUUUUAGACAGUGGCUUCAUGUGGUAUGAGACUCUUGUUCAAAGUGACUUUGUACGGCAGAUGAAAGGCUCUAGAAUACUGGGAAUUCUGUUUGUCCACUGACUGAAUCAAAAAUUGCUCUUGUUGUAUCCUCAGGAAAAGUCACACUGUAUGAACUGGAAAAUUUAUCAAUUCUCAAAGGCAAAGAUUUGAAUAAACUAUCUACUAUGCUACCGCCAUCCAUACAGGUAAGAAUCAUUUCAACUUCAAGUGUUGGACUUUUUCUCCCGAAGAGUCAUCCACAUAGAUGCAUUUCAGUUGAACUUCAGUGGAUGGAAUAGUUUCGGUUUAAAAACCAGUGCGAAAGGGAGUCCAGGACUGCCUGAUAAAUCCCUUUAUAGGCAAGUGGAAAGGGGAGAGGGGGAGGAUUCUAAUUUCUCAAAAAGUGCCUCACGUCAUUUACGGACCUACUUUAAAUAAAAAUUAAAAGACUCAAUACAAAUUUAGUACCAUUAUGCUUCACUAUUUAUUGACAACAUCUAAAUUUGCAGCAUAAUGGCUUUGUAUCCACACUUUUUAUUUUGUUUAAUAUUGCUUCUGCUCCAAAAAUGUUCAUUCCUUAUAAGGAAAGGAAACUAAUAUUUGUGGAGACCCCCCUAAUUUCAUUUAGUCUCUAUCAUUCUGUGAUUUUGUGCCCCUAAUUUCGAAAAUCAAUAGUGCUCUCUACUUUUCCCCAAAAAUCUGCUCCGAUGUUUGACAUGGAAGUUUGAAAAGCUUUAGAUUAGACGUAUAGGCCUUGGAAUGGAGGAGACGUUUCAUGGAUCGGAGUUCGGAUCAUAACGAAAGUUUUAUCAUCUCAACAUUCAUUCAGCCGUAAUGUUUUUCUUAGUUUUUAAAGAUUAAUUUUGAAUGAAGACUUAUGAUCAAUAAAGAGCCAGUGGCCAAACAUUUGAAAUCUACUUAGACACUGUAUUUUGUUCCAUGCAACUGUGACACAUGCUGCAUAAUGGCUGAGUGGCAUCUACACUAGGGAUGACGUCUGAGAGAUGGCGCUACUUGUAUGUUUUGCAGCUAUUUCUAUGAUAAAAAUUUGAAUAACUCGAAAUCAACUUUUUCACACUUAGCAUAUUUGUAAUAGGUCUUAAAAUAUUCUAAUCCGUCUGCAGCCUGAUUGUUGAAAUUGUGUGUUUGUCGGUGGACAUAGAUGACAUAGGUUAAAAGGCGGAGCGUGAUUGGUGGGCUAUGUCUUAUCGCUGCUUUAUCGUGCCUUUGUCGGGUGGAGUGGACGACAUACUGUUGGCAACCUAAGAGGUGCCUUUAGCUUAUUGUGAGUUCCACACGACAUAGGCUGGACAAAGCAGCGAUAAGAUGUAGCCGACCAAU
This 2152-nucleotide long non-coding RNA is filed under the name Bemisia tabaci. RNAcentral's name for it is "lncRNA ENSSSA1NGG003531". The record is from RNAcentral. Lineage: Eukaryota; Metazoa; Arthropoda; Insecta; Hemiptera; Aleyrodidae.